This 756-nucleotide ribosomal RNA is filed under the name uncultured Streptococcus sp. RNAcentral describes it as "bacterial SSU rRNA". It matches the Rfam family "Bacterial small subunit ribosomal RNA", at positions 28 to 764 of the family's 1533-position model. The record is from RNAcentral. Lineage: Bacteria; Bacillati; Bacillota; Bacilli; Lactobacillales; Streptococcaceae.
GACGAACGCUGGCGGCGUGCCUAAUACAUGCAAGUAGAACGCUGAAGGAGGAGCUUGCUUCUCCGGAUGAGUUGCGAACGGGUGAGUAACGCGUAGGUAACCUGCCUGGUAGCGGGGGAUAACUAUUGGAAACGAUAGCUAAUACCGCAUAAGAGUAGAUGUUGCAUGACAUUUGCUUAAAAGGUGCAAUUGCAUCACUACCAGAUGGACCUGCGUUGUAUUAGCUAGUUGGUGGGGUAACGGCUCACCAAGGCGACGAUACAUAGCCGACCUGAGAGGGUGAUCGGCCACACUGGGACUGAGACACGGCCCAGACUCCUACGGGAGGCAGCAGUAGGGAAUCUUCGGCAAUGGACGGAAGUCUGACCGAGCAACGCCGCGUGAGUGAAGAAGGUUUUCGGAUCGUAAAGCUCUGUUGUAAGAGAAGAACGAGUGUGAGAGUGGAAAGUUCACACUGUGACGGUAUCUUACCAGAAAGGGACGGCUAACUACGUGCCAGCAGCCGCGGUAAUACGUAGGUCCCGAGCGUUGUCCGGAUUUAUUGGGCGUAAAGCGAGCGCAGGCGGUUAGAUAAGUCUGAAGUUAAAGGCUGUGGCUUAACCAUAGUACGCUUUGGAAACUGUUUAACUUGAGUGCAAGAUGGGAGAGUGGAAUUCCAUGUGUAGCGGUGAAAUGCGUAGAUAUAUGGGAGGGAACACCGGGUGGGGAAAGCGGGUCCCUUGGUUUGUAAUUGACGCUGAAGGCUUGAAAGCGCUG